Non-coding RNA from Lolium perenne, 542 nucleotides. NCBI's taxonomy places the organism in Eukaryota, Viridiplantae, Streptophyta, Magnoliopsida, Poales, Poaceae. The record is from RefSeq and is a predicted model, not a curated record.
UAAUAUGUUGUUUCUGAUAUUUAAUUGCAUUGGGCCCUGACGUUCAACAUUAUAUCUUUUGUAGAAACAACAAGUGGUUCACUAAGUUGGUUGGGUGCUCGCUCACUAGCAGCAGGUACUAAAGUAUUCUUGAAGAGCCUAUCAAGCGGAAAUAAGGACAUUGCUAUUGCUACAAUUUUAAGUUGUGAUCCAAAAUAUAAACUUGAUGGUGCUGAAAUAACAAACCAAUUCUGGGUUGUACAUGUCAUUGCCGCACUUGUGAAAACCGAAGAGCUGGUACGGAAACGAAAAAAUUGCACUACUCUUGGUAACGCAGAAGGAACAAAGAUUGCAUGGCCUUCAACCUUUAUUCAAAAGAUACAUGGAUGAUGAUAUGGGUGAUUAGUUGAAUGGAAGGAGGAACAAUGUUGUCGUUGCUAUAAUCUACUUCAUAUCUCUGCAUCUUUAGUUAUCUCCUAGGAGGGAAGUGAUGUAGUAAACAAAAUAUUUAUAUAUGUAUCACGUGGAUGGUGUUUCUCUUGUAAUACUACGAUUCUUCUCUA